RNAcentral lists this long non-coding RNA (222 nucleotides) under Lathyrus oleraceus (garden pea). RNAcentral's name for it is "Pisum sativum (pea) long non-coding RNA (PSAT_LNC036360)". Lineage: Eukaryota; Viridiplantae; Streptophyta; Magnoliopsida; Fabales; Fabaceae. The record is from RNAcentral.
AGUCUGUCUUUCAUGAAUUUUGCAUACUUAGGCAUUUGCUCCAAUGCUUCGACAAACAGAAUGUUCACUUUCAAUUGUUUGAAAAUAUCCAUGAAUUGGGCGUAAUGCCGUUCAUUCUCCCUCUUAGAUGGAGCAUGUGAGUACGGAAGGUUUUGGAUUGGAGUAGCGCUCACUACCUCCUUUCCUUUAGCAACUCUAGAACUUCUCCAUCUAGGCUUUUUC